RNAcentral lists this ribosomal RNA (468 nucleotides) under uncultured bacterium. RNAcentral describes it as "partial 16S ribosomal RNA". It matches the Rfam family "Bacterial small subunit ribosomal RNA", at positions 28 to 507 of the family's 1533-position model. The record is from RNAcentral.
GACGAACGCUGGCGGCGUGCUUAACACAUGCAAGUCGAACGGAAAGGCCCUGCUUUUGUGGGGUGCUCGAGUGGCGAACGGGUGAGUAACACGUGAGUAACCUGCCCUUGACUUUGGGAUAACUUCAGGAAACUGGGGCUAAUACCGGAUAGGAGCUCCUGCUGCAUGGUGGGGGUUGGAAAGUUUCGGCGGUUGGGGAUGGACUCGCGGCUUAUCAGCUUGUUGGUGGGGUAGUGGCUUACCAAGGCUUUGACGGGUAGCCGGCCUGAGAGGGUGACCGGCCACAUUGGGACUGAGAUACGGCCCAGACUCCUAAGGGAGGCAGCAGUGGGGAAGAUUGAACAAUGGGCGGAAGCCUGAUGCAGAAACGCCGCGUGCGGGAUGACGGCCUUCGGGUGGUAAAACGCUUUCGCAUGUGACGAAGCGUGAGUGAAGGUAAUGGGUAAAGAAGCACCGGCUAACUACGUG